CAAUCCUCUCGAUUAAUACAUGGGAGGAUCAGAAUCAGAGGGGCAUUAAGGAUCAAGCCUUGGGGGCUUGGAGAGUGCAGAAGAAAAAAAUGAAAGUGACAGCAAGCUGGACCUGUUUUACCUGAGGGGGUGAGCUCUGGAACUUCUGGUCCAUUAAAUCGAAAAGGGCCUUUAAGUCUGUGUUCUGCCAGAGAAAACUGUUCAAACUCCGCACCUUUUUUAGAGAUCAGACUCCAAGAGGUUUUUAAAAGUAUUUUUUGAAAGGGGGAAUUUAAUAUUUUCUCUAAGAAUUGAGGAUCUUUAUCAUCAACCAAUUCGUCUUUUAAUUUGAUCAUUUAUAAAGUAAUGAGACAGCUGUCUAAAUUUGGUUUGUGCCUUAAUUGAGUUGGUCCUUGAACUUUCAAAAAUGUUACUGCCCGAAGAGGAAUUUUUAUAACCAGCUUAAAAAAAAAAAAAGUACGUCUUUUAUAAAAAUUGAAAAACUCAAAAGUCAUUUUUCUCUAAACACUGUGGGCAGUGUAGAAAGUUUAGCUGUGGAAAAAAUACAUCAUUAUUUUCUUUAUCUGAAAUAGAAGACUCGGCCUGGAUUUCAAAAUUGAAGGGUGAAGUGGUUUGCAACAGUUACCUGGCUCUUGGCCACAAUCCAGCUGGAUCAAGCAGAGACUUGAAAAGAGAUCUUGAAUCCGGUGGCAGUGAAAGACCCAAGAAUGCCAGUGAAGAAGAAAGGUGGGCUAUGAGGUUCCUAUAUAAUAUAUGAAUCUCCCUUUUCUUGGUUCUGGUAUUUGUAAUUAAAAUCAUAUUCCAUUGGAGAGUAAAAUUUUGACUGGAUUUGAGAAAUUAUUACAAUAAUAUCUUUUCAGUAGCACAUCAUUUAGUAAGUUUUUUUGCUAUAGCAAAAGGAAGUAAGACUAUCAUAUUUAGUUAUAGACAUUAUGAUUUCAUAAAUCAGGCUGUCUGGAUUACCAUUUGUAAUAAGAAUAAAAUGAUUUGUGAUCUUCUUUAGCUUGUUUUCUUAGAUCAUCAAACUUACUUUUAAACAAUCUUUAAAAAAAGGAACAUGUAGAGUGUAGCUCUUCACCAUGAACUUAAUAUUUAUUGAGAUAAUUAUAGUUGUAAAAGAUAGUAAUUUUAUUUUCACUGGAAAACUUAUUGCUUUUUCAUUUAUUUUUUAAAAUAGAUUUCAUAUUUGUUCAUUCUGUCACUUUUGUGAUAAAGCAAAACUUUGGUAACUUGCACAACUUUGGUAACUUGACUCAGGCAUUAUUUAAUAGCAUAGUUGACAAUUUCCUCAAAUGAGGCGCACACCUGUAUUUUUCUCCCCUUUAAUAGUUUUUUAUACUCUUGAGUUGAUCAAGAUCUAGUUGGUUCCUGAAGCAUAGUUUAUUAUAUGUCAGGCCUUGGGGAUUCAAUUAGCCUAGAUCUACCUCAGGUUAACUUUAUUCCAAAGUAGUCUAGUGAAGCUGUUUUUUCUUUUUCUUUUUUUUUUUUUUUAACUUGAUGCAGAAGAUAGUAUUAAUUAAAAAGAGUUUAUAGAAAGUUUUGAAUAAAAAUUUAUAUCAACACUAUUGAAUUUUACUCUCUUGGGCUAACAUGGAUCCAAAUGUAUAAUUAUAUGAAUUGCUACAAUAUGAAACUAAAGCCUCAACUGUAAGUUAAAGCACAGCCUGGCUCUGCAUGGUGUUUAAUGCUUCUACCUUUGGAUAUGGAAGAUUCAUUGAGAAAAAUUGUAACCUCUGGGAUGCUUUUAUCCAAGCUGGUAUGUGAGAGAGGGACAGUGAUAUAUAAAACCUUUGAAACACAGCUGUGCUUUUUUGCACACUAGGAUAUAAAACUAGUGUUGUUUUCUUCCCCCAGUUCUUCCCUGUAGUCACUGAGAGAAAUAAACUCUCUUUUGGAUUUUGGAGCCACACCUGUUUAAAUCUGACACGGUUGGUUUAUCUGGAAUAAGAAUGGUUUUAGGAAUGUAGGCAAUAAACAAUAUGGCUAUUUGAUUUAUUUACUCAUUGUGUGUUGUUACUGUUUGUACCAUUUCUCUAGACAGUCUUGUUGGACAACUUUGAUAUUUUGGACUAAAAGUUAAACACUGUGUGUGUGUGUGUGUGUGUGUGUGUGUGUGUUGGGGAGAAAGAGGAAGGAGAAACUGGGAAGGGGAAAAGAGAAGGAAGAGAGGGAAGAGAGCAAGAGAAAGGGAUAAAAAGGUAUGUGGAGGAAGCCCAAUGAAUAUUUUCAGUAUAAAUUAAGCUAAAGGCUGAUCUUACAUUUCUAAAACCAAUAGAACAAGUUUCUUAAAAGUUUCCACAUUUAAAGGAACUCCUACAGAAAUUGCUGGACACAUUAUUGAAAAUUACAAUACUUUAAAAACUUCCUCUUUCCUCCUACAUUUUUCUUUCUUUCUUAAGAAUGGAUUGACAUAUAGAUCAAAAAUUUGAAGGAAUCAACAUGUUCUAUGUAGCAAAGCAAGUACAUAUUUGUGUUAUACUAAAACAUACGCAUUAUGUAAUUCAUUUUAUGAACUGAUCUAGAGAAAAAUAAGAAAUCAUUUCUUAUUUUUAAUUUCUUAAAAUUGUUUGUAUUCAGAUAUUUAUUUUUGAAGACUAUAACAAAUAGCCAAACAAAUUAUUACAUAUGUAUUACCUAUUAAUUGGCUAAUCUUACUGUCUCUACUGUUUCUAUAAUCUAAGAAAAACAAAUAUUUUAGAGUUUAACCUAAAUUUAUUCUGCAUGAAGCACUGCCAUCAUUUUGAAUAUUUUUCUCUUCAUUGUUACUUAUAGUAGAUAUAAUGGAAAAGCUAGAGUUAAUGUGAUUUUAAAUAGUAACUAUAUCCAUUGGGCCAAGUGUUUAUUCUUUGUUGAAUAUAUUCUUAUUAAAAUGUAAAGUUUUCAUAAGACAUAUUUCAUUUGGUGUUCAUUUUGUAUACUGUUUUCAAAAUUAAGAGAUUUUCUCAUUGAUAACUUGCAAUCAUGGUGGGAGGUAAAUUUCUGGGUGCUAUUCUUGACUGCUCUUGGAUAAGUUGCAACUGCUAUGCUUCAAACCUUCUGUUUUGCUUUAUUGGUAUUACUUUUUAUCUCUCCUACUUCAGCCUCCCCACAUUUUUUAUAGAUCUCAGUUUUGUCAACAGAACUCUUCAUUUUCUCUGUUACAGACUUCUCCCCCCACCUCAAUAGUUGAUUUUUAUUCACGAUUCAAUUAUCUACAGUAGUCACUUGAUUUGCUACCAACCAACCCAUUAGGACAGUCUUUGACAUAAUGCAUGAAAAUUUAGAGCUUAUCCAAAAUAAGUUGUAUUAGUAUUUUCUGAUGUGACACAAGAUCAUAGUGGGUUGUAAAAGGCUAUUUCAAUAAAUUGAAUCAAUACAAUUUUAUGUUGAAUUAACAUAAGGAAAAAAUUAUGUUCUUCCUGGUGUUUUCAAGUAGGAAGUGGGUAUUUUGAAGAUAAAAUAUUAUCUUUGAACACUGAGAGUUUUAAACAGAAUUUGUGCUUCAAUGGAAUUUUUUUAGUACAAUGCAGUUUCUUUUUUGAAGUUUUUUGUUCUUAUUGUUAUUAAAUAUAUGAAAGAAAUCAUUGCAUUUUAAUACUUUCAGAUGGAUGCUCAUUUCAUUUCUGUUUUUUUUUUUAAAUGUUCUAUUAUCUUCUUAACUGGUAUAGAAGGCUGCCUGAUGUUAUUAAUUUAUAUAACACUUUAUUUCCUUCUAAUACUUUUUUGCAACCAUUCUCAAUGAUAUUAUUGAACAUGUAUAAACAGAUUUUUACCAUGAAUUUCAAGCUAAAUAUUAUCAUUUUCAUAUUCAUUUGUUUUGAUUUUAUACCUUUUUAAAGGAAGCUGAAGAAUAUUGUGUAUUUAGAAUUCUAAAGCAUGAUUCUCUCAUAUAUCUUAUGUACUCUCUUGAAAUUGAAAUUGUUGUUUCCUGGACUCACAGGCUUUUAGUCUUUGUUUUGGGUUAACUAUAUUCUUCAUAAAAGUGUUAUUUUUGUUUUUCUUUUUUAUCUCCCAGAAAGAGAACUUAGAACUAUUUUGCUUAUUUCUUCUUUAAAAUUUUCUUCUUUCAUUAUUUGUUUCCAGCACCUUGUGGGUUAACUAAUUUAUUUUUUUAUAGCAUCUCACUAAUUUACAUUUACCUUUCAUUAUCUGUAUUUUCCUUCUAUCUGUAGAUUUUUUUAAGUUAAAAAAUUGUUUUUCAGAAUCAAUAAAGGGGAAAAUAUGUACCUGAAUUUAUUGACAGUUCCUGAGUGGCUAUUUUAUUUAUUUUGCAUACAUUUUAUUUAUUUUGCUGGACAUUUUACCAAAUUUGUGUUUAAACUUUCAUGUUUGCCAUACUAGUACUACAUCCAGAUACCUUUUUCAUUUUAUAAAACUUCAAUUUUUGUUUAAUUUUUUUUUCUCACAGCUAAUAAAGACAGGAGUUCCCAGAAAGGAUUGAAAAAAAUAGCUUUUCUCCCCCUUUGGUCCUUCGGAUGGAACCACUGAGACACAUCCCCAGCCCUUUUUAUAUUUUAUUUUGAGACAGGGCCUUGAUAAAUUGCUGAGGCUGGCUUUGAACUUUUGAACCUCCUACUUCAGCGUCCCUUGCUGCUGGGAUUAUAGGUGUGUGCCACUGCGCCAGGCUGAAAAAAUAGUUUUCAAAGGUUGGCAAUUUCUAUAAUUCACAGUAAAAUAAAUAACUUACUAAGGAUUUUUUUUUAGGUUUAAAAUUCCCCAAAAGGGUCAUCUUUUUUUCCUAAAGUUUUUUCAACUAUAUUAAGGAAUAAUUUAUUCGUAAUAAACUGCAUCAUUUAAAAUGUACAGUUUGAUGAAUUUGGACAAGUUUUUAUGUACCUCUGAAAUCAGCACCACAGUCAGAAUAUAGAACAUGUCUAAUACCCACCCCCACUUCUGUAUGCUCCUUUAUAAUUUCUCCCCCCAUCCUUAAUUCUCUAUUCUCUAUCUUGAUGGUUGAGAGAUUAUUGGAAAUUAUGAGGCCACAAUUAUUAUUAUUUUCUUCUCCUCCUUCUCUUCUUCUUCCUUCUUCCUUCUUCCUUUUCUUCUUCUACUAGAGAUUGAACCAUGGGUGCUUUACCACUAAGACACAUCUCCAGGCUUUUUUAAAUUUUUGAGACGGGGUCUCGCUAAGCUACUCACAGCUUCGCUAAAUUGCUGAGGCUGGUUUGGAACUUGUGAUCCUCCUCCCUCAGCUUCCUGAGUCCCUUGAUUUAUAAGUAUAUCAAUGCACUUGGUGAAGCCAUAAGUUCCAUUUCUUUUCUUUUCUUUCUUUCUUUUUUUGAUAUGGGGAAUGAACACAGGGGUGCUUGACUUGCUAUCCUCCUGCUCCAGCCUCCCCAGCCACAGGGAUUACAGGCAAGCACCACCCUGCGGGGCCAUAAAUUCUUAAUAUUGGGAAAUAUUCAUUAAUCUAGAAGGCAUAAAGAGGGAGCAUUCUGGAUAGAGAUGUAAGAGAAUAUUUUUGUGUUUAGCUACUGAUUAGGAAUAUGCUGUGUAGCAAAUCAAUAGACAUCAAAGUAAAAUGAUCUGUUAAUAGGUUUUAUUUUACACAUAUUAUGUAUUGGGAUAGUGUACAAAUGAUACACUAAGGAAUUGGUAACAGAUGUGUGAACUGUUAAGUUUUGGGAGAACUACUCAAGUGUUCCAUUCAAAAUAGAAUAUUUUAUCUCUCCUUAGGCCUGUUAUUACUUAUUUUUGGGUAGAAGAGUAUAGUCAGAAAAUAUACACAAAACAUUGAGUUUUUACAAUACCGAAUUAAGACAUUCAGUUCAUUCAUGCCUCUGUCAAUAAAUAAAUCCCUCAUUAUUAUGCAAUAUUAUAUCCCCUAAACUGCUAGAAUACUAUUCAUUCUUAAUCAUAUAUAUAUAUUCUUUUAUGCUCUUACUUUUUAGCAUUUACUGUUAUUUCAGUGAUUAUAAUUUUUUUAAGACUAAGGCUGAGAUGCAUAAUAUUUUUUUGUUGGGGGAAAGGGAUCCGUUCCCUAGCUAUGAUUUCUGCUCAGGGAUUUGUAGCGGUCAAGACUUGAGGGCUCUGUAUCCUCAAUGUAGGUUGCUGUGUCAGCAGAGGGUCAUGAGUUUUACCCAGUCUCUUCUGUCCAGUCUCUUCUGUCUUUUCUUUCUGAAUUCUAACUAGUAAGCUUUCUGCAUGGGUUCAAUUUUUAGUAAGUUACUCAAAGCUAUUUCAAGAAUUAUGGCAAGCACCUCCAUUAUGAAAUAGUUCUUCUGACCCCAUUUAUUUUAGGAUUUAAGAUCAAGAGGAAUAUGAGGUAGAAAAUCCUGUGAAAAUGAAUUAUUAAAUUUAAAUGUUCAAAGAUUAUAAUAUUUUAUAUUUCAUUUCUUCAGAAGACACUAUGUUGCUAGCCACUAACUCUGUUAUAGUGAAAUUUUGAGAUUUUAUGGGUGGGGAAGGGCUUUCAUUUUUGAGAGUUGUGACAUGUUUAUUUUCUAAAGUAUAGUAUGACUUGGAAUAAACCUGUUAUAUUCUAUUCUAUUUAGAACCCCUUAUAGGUAAUAAGCAAGCCACAGUUUUUUAAAAAGUUAAGCUUAUGUAUGUACUUAGUGUAAUAGCUUUACUUCUAUUUGUUUGUUCAAUCACUUUUCUAUCCAACAAGGAUUUAUUGAGUGCCUGUCAUGUGCCAGGCACUGUGCCAGAUGUGUGUUUUGUGGUGGCAAGUGGUAUUCGACCUCUGCCGAUUUCUAAAAUAGGGAGACAUGUGAAAAUAAACAUUUUUAAUGUUGUGAUAUUGAUAUGCUGUGUCCUAGAAACAGGCGAGGAGGACUUAAGUCCAUGUAGGGAAGAUGUGAUAGUUAAGAUGAGAUAAGAAAGAUGAGUAGAAGUUUGCCAGUCAGUGUAGGAAAUGGUAAGAUAAUUAUUUUCUUUGCCUUGAACAUAUCUUGACAUCCUAUGUCAUUUUUGUUGUCGUCAUUGUCAUCAUCGUCGUCAUCAUCAACAUCAUUAUCAUCAUCAAUAACAGUAAUAGUGUAGAAAAAACCUAGGCCAGUAGUCUGAAGACCUGGCUACUAGAAGAAGAGACAAGAUCAGAGAUGACUGAUUUGGACUUUUGGUCUAUUUUUGGUAUGUAAGAAAUAUCUAGGUUGAGAUGUAGCUCAGUGGCAGCGAACUUUGCUAGCAUGUGCAAGAGCCUGGGUUUGUUUCCUAGUACUGUGAAAAAAAAACCCAUUUAUUUUCUAUAAUUCAAAUUUAUUUAUUUUUUUUUACUUGUAGGCAUUGUUUAGUGGCUAAAAUAAUUCUAAUCCUUCUUGAGAUUUUCCCUUCUUCACUGGAAUGGGGGAGGUGAACUCUGGUCAACCAUCAUCUAUAUUUAAUAACUUACCUCUUAGAUAUGAGUUGUUUUGUCUGGAUAGUUCUUCUGGUUUGGCAGAGAUCUACUAGUUCCAAGUCACAUGCUUCUGUGUUUUUUCAAUAAUUUCUGUUUGCCUAGACUUAUUAUGAUGCCAUUUCUCUCUGGGGUCUUACUGCCUUCCAGGCAAUGCUGAUGGUAAAUUAGACUUGAUUUCUGCUGCCUUGGGAUACAAAGACCUUUUUUGUGCCUUAUGUCUCUUAUUUGGUUUUUCACCUGUGGAAAUCUCUUUUUAGACUGGCGAGAGCCUGGGGGAAGUCCCUCUGUCUUCCUAUUUGUGAGAAUCUUUCAUCUCUGUGACAAAUACUUAUUGUGAAGAUUUAUGCUUUUGGAAAGCAAAAUUGAAACAACUUAAAAAUCGCUUUUGUUUUUUGUCCUGGCAUAUACCUCCCCGAGGCAAUAAAUGCUGAAUCAAUUAUCUGCUUAACUAAGAAGAAAGGGAAUGGGAAAUUUUAGGGAGAGAAAAAAAUUACUUUUUCAAAAUGCCAAUCUCCCACAUUAAAAUAGAGUUUAUGUGCCUUCAUAUGAAAUGCUACCAGUGGACCUGCAGAAAUCAUGUAAUCCUUUGAACUCCACUUUAUUCUUUUAAAAAGAGAUUUGAUGGGGCUGGAGUUGAAGCUAGGGUUGUAGCUCAGUGGUUGAGUGCUUGCCUCGAUGAGUGCAGGAGGCACUGUGUUUGAUCCUCAGCACCACAUUAAAAAAUAAAUAAAUAAAAUAAAGAUAUUGUGUCCGUCUACAACUAAAAAAAUAUUUAAAAGAAAAAAAAUGAGAUUUGAUACCUUCCCCCCCUUACUAUGUGUUGUUCCUUUUCCUCAUCCAAUAAUACACAAGAACUUCACUUUUCCAAAGCUAGUUAGUGAUAAAAUUAGGAUGAGAAGCUUGUCCAGUGCUCUUUUGUGAAUUAUGGUGUUCUUUGAAUAAGUGAAUGCUAUCAUGGUACAACAGAGGGUUGGAAUUCAAUGUUUUACAUUAACUGGCUAAGUUAUCUAAAGAAAAUAAAAAGAUUGAACUUUAAAUUCCUCAUCUUAAACAUAAGUGUACUAAUAAUACCUCUUAGGACUAUUGUGAGGAUCAAAUAAAGUUAUCCAAUCCAUGUAAAAUCUGUUUGUAAAUGAGAAAGUGCUACACAAACACUUACCAGCAGGAUACUAUUUUGACCAGGCAUGAUGGUACACACCUCUAAUCUCAGCCACUUGGGAAGCCAAGGGAAGAGGGUCGCAAGUUCAAAGCCAGCCUCAACAAUGUAGACUCUGUCUCAAAAUAAAAAUAAAAAAGACUGAGGGUGUGGGACUGAGGUUGUAGCUCAGUGGUAGAGAGCUUGCCUUGUACCUGUGAGGCACUGGGUUCAAACUUCAACACCACAUAAAAAUAAUUGAAUAAAGAUAUUGUUUUCAUUAAAAAAAAAAAGACUGAGGGUGUAGCUUAGUGGUUAAGUUCCUCUGGGUUCAAUCCCUACCACCAAAAUUAAAAUGACAACAACAAAACAAAUGAACAACCAAACAUUUUUUGGGGGGGCAGAAUGUCUUAGAAGGAGAAAAGUGUGUUCAGAGUGUGGAUCCCCUUCCAUCAGUAGUAUGGAGUUAGCUUCCUGAUUAGCUUUUGGAGCAACUCUACCCCAAAUUGACAGUGACACAUCUAAUCCAAACAGAAAAUGUCAUAUAGUAAUAUUUGUUAUGAGUAUUAUUUCUCUUCUACAGAUACAAAAAUAAUUUGUAAACCAUCUAAUAUCUAUAAAUGGUUGUAGUCUCCAGGGUCUGCUUUAAGUCUGGACAGAAAUUUUCUCUAUUAUAUAAAUUUUUAAGUUUUAUUUACUUAUUUUUCUUUUUGUUAUAACUGGAAUGGUGCAUAUUUCAAUAUACAGCUGAGUUAAGAAUUGUAUUUAGCAAUUUUCUAUCUUCCUAUUUAUUACUCUAUAACCUUAAAUUUUCCCAUCCUUUUCUUCAACAACAUUCUAUAGAAUUAUUUCUAUAUGUUCUAUUGAAAACAUGACUUAUAAUUAAAAAUAUGACUUCUCUGAGAGAAAUAAUGUGAACCCACCAAUUCAUACUAAUAUCUUUUUGCUUCACCAGGAGAAACAGUAUGAUAAAUAGGUGUUUGUUAAAGUGUAUUAUAUUUGUUUUUGAAGGAAGCAGUAAACUAUGAUUUCUAAGGACAGUGAUAGAAAGGAGAAACACCAUGAUCCUUUCUUUUUUCUUUUUUAAAGAGAGAGUGAGAGAAUUUUUUUAAUAUUUAUUUUUUAGCUUUUGGCAGACACAACAUCUUUGUUUGUAUGUGGUGCCGAGAAUCGAACCCUGGCCACACGCAUGCCAGGCGAGCGCGCUACCGCUUGAGCCACAUCCCCAGCGCCUAUGAUCCUUUCUUAGUUAGCUAAGUUUCAAUAUAGCAUAGUACUUUAAACUAUAGGGUCUGGUACCAGAUAAACCAGAAUUUGAAUCCUGGUUCUGGUAUUUACUGGAUGUGUAGCCUUGAGAAUGUUAUAGUUUGGAUCUCAAAUGUCUCCCAAAGGCCCAUAUGCUAAAGGCUUUGUUGCCAAUUCUGGAAUUUUUAGGAAGUGAGGUCUAGUGGGAGGAAGGUAGGUAAUUGGGGACAUGACCUUAAAUGGAAUAUAUGGUCCCAGUCCCUUGUACUUCCAAGUGAUCAUGAGAUGAACAGAUUUUCUCCAACACACAUUUCUUGCCACAGACCUAAAGCAACAGGGACAAGUGACCAUGGACUGAAACCUCUUAAAGUAUGAGCCAAAAUAAAUAUUUUCUCCUUUAAAUUGAUUUUCUCAGGCACUUUGCUAUAGCAAUGUAAAAGCUGACUAACACAGGUAAAUUACUUAAUUUCACUUGGAGUAAAGUUUCCUCAUUUGCAAAAUCUAUCUAAUAGUGUUUCUCAGGAAUUUGUGAAGAUUAAAUAAGAUAAUCUAUGCAGAAUUCUUAGCCUUGUUUAACAAAUCCUAGCUAGUAUUAUUAAUAAUAAAAUGACACCUUUGGUGUGUCAUCAUGAACUGUAAAUUUUAAUAUUAAAACUUCUUUUUAAAGCCUAAUGCAAGGGUAACUUUUAUAUGCAUAUUUAUUAUUGAUUAUUUUCAUAUGAAUAUCCUUAAUUUUCAAUAUAACAAAAACAGUAAGACUAACAAUAAGAAUUAAGCACUUAUAAAUAUUUCAUAAUAUAUUUAUUCUCUUGUUGGGUGUAUUGGCACACCCCUGUAAUCCCAGCUACUAAGGAGGCUGAGGCAGAGGGACCAUUAAUUUGAGGCCAACCUGGGCAACUUAGUGAAACCCUGUCUCACAAUAAAAAAUAAAAAAUGGGUAAUGUCCCUAGGUUCAAUUCUCAUUAGCAAAAAAAAGUAUUUAAAUUUCCUAGUCAUGUCUAAUAAGUAAUGAUAAAAAUGGUGACUAUUCAGUGUUGCAUAUAUUGAUAUAUAAGGGAGGAAAAUUUAAUCAUUAUUGCUUGUUUUAAUAGAUAUAUAGCACAUUAUAGUUAAAAAUCUUUCUAAAACUGUAAAGUGGGCAUGCUCCCCUUCAUUUAAAAAUCUUUCAUGGCUUGUCAUUCCUCCUUGGGUAUAAGGUCAAACUUAUUAACAUGAUGUGUAUGGUGUCAACUUCUGUUUCCAUGGCAUCUUGAAUACCCUGAUAGUAUUAUUAUACUCUGAUCUUUUACUUUGUUUACCUAUUCUAUUGAAUUAUCUUUACUUUCAAACUAAAAUCUCUGUGAGAUUUGACUCUUACCUAUCUUGUUCAGUAUUGAAUUUCCAGUUUACAAUGUCUAAAACAUAGUAAGGUACUUAAUAUAUUUGAUUAAUGAAUGAAAGAACUUUUCUGUAUUAGACUUAUAAUGGCAUAAUCAUUUUUAUUUAUAUGCCUUUAAUACAAUUAUUAUUAUAAUAAACACAUGUAAAAACCAGUGAGUCAGUCAAGUGCUGUGGCACAUUUAUAAUCCCAGCGAUUUUGGAGACGGAGAUAGGAGGACUGUAAAUUCAAGGCUAACCUCAGCAAUUUAUCAAGAUCUGUCUUAAAGUAAAAAAUACAAAGGGCUGGAGAUGUAGCUCAGUGAUAAGAGCCCUUAGGUUCAAUCCAUAGUGUGUGUGUGUGUGUGUGUGUGUGUAUGAUUCAACAUUUCAAUAUUUAACCUUAUAUUCUGAAGUUUGAUUAUACAAGUCAAGUCUGAUUUGUCAAGCUUUAUUUUUCCUGUUGAAAUAUGCUUCUUCCUUCCCUUCCUCCCCCUCCUCCUCCUCCUCCUCUUCCUCCUCCUCCACUAAGAUCUUCUUCUUCAGAGUAUUGUGGAGAGAGCAUGUACUUAGAAUAAGAAACAUUAGAACUAGACUCCAAAUCUAUUAUUUAGUAGCCUUGUAAUCUUGGAUCCAUGGAUUUCCGUUUCUUUCUUUCUUUUUAUUUAUUUAUGUAGAUACUGGGAAUCGAACCCCCAAGGUACUUUAUGAAUGAGCUAUAGUCCCUACUCUUUUUAUUUUUUAUUUUAAGACAGGGUCCCACUAAAUUGCUGAGGAUGACCUAGGACUAGGACAGGAUGAUCCUCCUGUCUUAAUUUCCAGAGUCGCUAGUAUUACAGGCAUGCACCACCACAUCCAGCUGAAUUUUAGUUUCAUGUAAAAUAGGCAUAUUAUAACUUCUCAAUUGUGGCAAUCAGAUAAUAAAAUACAUGUAAAUUUCUCUCUAAACUAUAAAAAUGAUGAAUACAUUUAUGUAAAGGAAUUCAUUAUUCUAAAUGCUUUGUUCUCCAAGAUUUAUUUGUAUUAAAUUUACUUUUCCUUUUCUUAUAUUUCGAUCUUAGUUUCCUGAGUAAUACCACCAUAUGGUCUAUAAUUCUUGCUUUUUUUAUCCAUAGUAAAAUGCUUUUAUGUAUUAUCCUUUUAUUCUAAAAGUUAAUUUGUUAGCACUAUUGUCAUUCACUGUUUCAAAUUUAAAUUGCCCAACUCGAAUUAUUUAUAACUUUCUGGCAAUGCUAUUCUUAAACCAAAUACAAUAGAGUUGAGCCUUAAUUAACAGACACAUGAUUACCUACAAUGCCAAUUAUAUAACAUUCACUAUAUCCAUUGGUUGCAUAUUUAAUGCAGAAAUUUCUCAUUUUAACAAAUGAUAACCCCUUUCCAUAUCCUCCUGUGCCUGUCCUCAAGAAAUUCAAAUUUAGUUUCAUUCUUUCAGUAGAUUUAGGAGUCAUGAAGGUAGAUCUUUAAUGAAGAAAAUAGAAGAGUUGAGGCCCUCCUAGCAGCUAUUCAGGAAACAACAUUCUUCAUUUAUACUUGGUUAUAUGAAUGUCAAUUAAAAUAUUAAUCCUGACUUGCAGAUAAUUACCCAAUUAUCUCAACCCAAUUUAUUAAAUUUAUGGAGAUCUGGAUAGAUAUUUUGACUUGUACAACAGGAUCCUUGUCAUCUUGCCUUUUUAAAAAUUUAUCAUAUAUUAGUUGUCUAAUUUUAGACAAGCUCAGACUUUCAUUAACCAGAAACGAGAAUUUGAGUAGAGGGAUUUAAAAGUCAUAAUGGAAUUGACACCAAGUGAUGAUUAUUAAUAAUCAAAAGAGGAAUAAAAGAGCUGGGUUCAGUGGCCCAUGCCAGUAAUCUCAGCAAUUCAGGAGGAUCUCAAGUUCAAGGCCAGUCUCUGAAACUUAGAAAAAAUCUCUGAAAAAAAAAAAAAAGGCAACAGCAGAAGCAGGAGAAAAUAGAGAAAUCUCCAAUUUUAAAAUAAGAUAUGUUAAUAAAGGUUAAAGGUUGGUGGCAUGAACAUAGACACAUAGAGUAUAUUUGUACACCUGGUAUGUGAAGCCUAAGUUUAUCUAAGAGAUCAAUCAUAUUUGACCAUUUGUUUUUUCUUAUAUUGUGGCAUUUUGUUUUAUGUGUCAAAUUUUUCACACAUAUGGAUGAGAGGCAUAAUAAGCUUUGCUGGUUUGGAAAACAUUUAUCUGUUUUGAAUUAAUACAGUAUUUCCCCUGUGUAGUUACUUAAUAAACAAAUGUGAAUGAAUUAAAAUCUUCUCAUUUAGCAAAUUAUAUUGUGUGAUUAUGGGAAUGUCAUUAAUACAUCUUUCAAAAUUGCUCUAACUAUAUAUAAAAAUGCAACAGAAGUGAUAAAAAUAGCUUCAAAAUUAUGAUGGGAGAGAAAAGACUAAAGCUUUAAGCACUAAUUAUGGGAUUAGAGCCCUCUCAUACAUUAAAGUGCAGAGGAAGGUAUAGUGUAGUUAUGGCAUUGUUGAUAUUCACAUUAGUAAGUACUGGGUAGGAAUGUGUUAGAAAAUUAGGUCUGUAAACUACUAUUAUUUCAGAGAAAUGGCUGAAUGUUUAGUUAUUGAAAAAGUAGGGGUUAAAAUAUUUGUCCCUGAUUUAGAAUUGUUAAAAAUAUUAUAUAGGUAAAGUCUGAAAAUAUUUUUUAAAAUAAAAGUUCUGUACCAAUAUAUUACCAUAUAGUCAUGCCACCAACCUUUAUUAAUGUAUCUUAUUUUAAAAUUGUGGACAGUUCCCUGUUCAACCAUACAUUAAAGUCUAAAAAUUGUACAAAUUAAAUGGGUACCAUGUUAUGAUUUAUUACAUGUAUAUACCACAUACUCUUUGAAUGAGUUUAGGCAUAUUUAUCUGCUCAAAAGUUCAUACUUUCUUUAUGAUAAAACUGUCAAAAGCCAGCUUUUUGAAAUGCAUGGUACAUUAUUGUUACCUGUGUACCCUAUUGUCAACAUCACACCAGAACACAUUACUCCUGCCUAAAUGUAAUUCAGUAUCCAUUGAACAUUUUCAUAACCCUACUCUCUCUGGCCUCUGGUAUCACCAUUCUUUUCUCAGCUUCUAUGAGAUCAGCUUUUUAGAUUCACGUAUGAGUAACAUCCUGUGAUUCUUGUCUUUCUGUGUCUGGCUUAUUUCAAUUCGUACAAUGACUUUCAGUUGAAACAAUGUUGGUGCAAAUGAGAGAAUUUCUUUCUUUUUAUGGCUGAAUAGUAUUUCAUUAUAUAUAUGUACUACAUUUUAUCCAGUGAUAAGCUGAUGGACUGUUAGGUUGUUUUCUUUUUCUAGGUAUUUUGAAUAGUAAUACAAGGAAUAUGUGAGUGUAUAUCUUUCUUCAAGUCCAAAAUUAUUGAAAGGAAAGAAAGACUAAAGACCAGAACAGAAAUAUAUGAAAUGGAUACUAAAAAGAUAAUACAAAAAAAAAUCAUUGAAACAAAGAGUCAGUUCUUUGAAAAUAUAAGCAAAAUAGACAAACCUUUAGAUAGACUAACUAGUAAAGACUAAUUUCAUUUCCUUUGGGCAUAUAUACCGUGUAGUGGGAUUGCUAGAUUUCCUUUUAUUUUCUGUGCUUUGAGUUUUUUUUCCAAAAAAUAUUCUUGCAUAUUUGAAGUGUUUCUCUAUAUUUUAUGCUAGUAGUUUUAUAAUUUCAGGUCUUACAUUUAAAUAUUAAAUCCAUUUUGAAUUGACUUUUGUAACUGGAAAAAGGGUCUAGUUUAAUUCUUGUGCAUGUGGAUAUUUGGUUUUCCCAGCAUCACUUAUUGAAAAGACUGUCUUUUCUCCAAUGUGUGUUCUUAGUAACUUUUUAAAAAAUCACUUGACUGGAGAUACAUGAAUUUAUUUCUAGGCUCUCUAUUCAGUCCCAUUGCUUAGUAUGUCUGUUUUUUAUACUGAUACCACAUGGUUUUGAUUAUUACAGCUUUACGGUAUGUUUUGAAGUCAGAUAGUGUAAAGCCUUCUGCUUUGCUCUUUUUGCUCAAGAUGGCUUUGGCUAUUAAGUUUGUGUGUUGGCUAUUCAGUUUGUGUGUGUGUGUGUGUGUGUGUGUGUGUGUGUGUGAUUUCAUAUAAAUCCAAAUCAACAAUUUUUUAAAGUUCUGUGAAGAAUGUCAUUUUGCCUUUUGAUAGGGAUUGCAUUGAAUCUGUAGAUUGCUUUGGGUACUAUGUAGACUUUAAUGAUAUUUAUUCUUCUAAUCCAUGAACACAGGAUGUCUUUCCACCUUUUGGUUGUCUCUUCAAUUUCUUUUGGUGGUAUUUUAUUGUUUUCAUUAUAGAGAUUUUUUAACCUUUUUUGGUUAAUUUUUCUUAGGUGUUUUAUUUUUGAAGCUAUUGUAAGUGAAAUUGCUUCUUGAUUUCUAUUUUAGGUAAUUAACUAUUGGCAUAUAGCAUGCUACUGCUUUUUGUAUGUUGAUUUAAUAUCCUGCAACAUUGAUGAAUUCAUUUAUUAGAUCUAAAUAGUUUUUUGGGGAGGUUUUGGGGGUUUUCUUCAUAUAAGAUCAUGUCAUUUGCAAACUGUGGCAACUUGGCCUUUUCUUUUCCAAUUUGGGUGCCUUUUAUUUUUUCUCUUGCCUGAUUCCUCUGGCUAGGACUUCUAGUAUAACGUUGAAUAAUUAGUGGCAAAAGUGAGCAUCCUUGUCUUGACCAGAAAAGAAAGACCAGAAAAGAAACAAAUGCAAUGGAAACUAAAAAGAUAAUAUAAAAAAUCACUAAAAUGAAGAACUGGCUCUUUGAAAAAAUAAACAAAAUAGACAGAGCUUAGAAAGUGUUCAGCAUUUCCCCAUUUGCAUAGUGUUAGCUAUUGACUUACAAAUGGAUUUUACUUUAUUAUGAUACAUUCCUUAUAUAUCUGAUUUGUUCAGCAUUUGCAUGAUGAAGAAUGUUGAAUUUUAUCAAAUGUUUUUACCUCUUCUAUUUAGAUGAUUAUGUACGUUUUGUCCGUCAUUCUGUUGAAGUGUUGUAUCAUGUUUAAUGAUUUGCAUAUAUCAAACCAUCUUCACCCAUUUGGUCAUGGCAAAUAAGCUUUUUAAUGUUCUGUUGGAGUAGGUUUGCUAGUGUUUUGUUGAGGAUUUUUAUAUCUGUGUUCUUCAAGGAUAUUGGCUUGUAGUUUUCUUUUUUUCAUGUAUGUGGGUCCUUAUCUGGUUUUGAUAUUAGGGAAAUGCUGGCCUCAUAGAAUGUGUUUGGAAGAAUUCCUUCCUCUUCUAUAUUUUGGAAUAACUUAAGGAGAAUUGAUGUUAAUUCAUCUUUAAAAGUUUGAAAUAAUUCAGUGGUGAAGGCAUUUUGUCCUGGCAAAAGGCAUUUAAUUACUAAUUCAAUCUCAUCACUUGUUAUGGGUCUAUUUAGGUUUAUUAUUUCUUAAUGGUUUGGUCUUUUUAAGGUGUAUGUAUCAAAGAAAUGAUACAUUUCUUCCAUAUCAUCAAAGUUGUUGGGUGAUAAUUAUUCAUAAUAAUCACUAAAGAUCUUUUGUAUUUCUGUGGUGUUAGUUUUAAUAUCUCCCUUUUCAUCUCCAAUUUUCUUUAUCAGGUUCUUUAUUAGAUAGUCUAGCUAAGGGUUUGUUUAUUUUGUUUAUUUUUUCAAAGAGUCAGCUCUCAUUUUAGUGUUCUUUUGUAUUAUCUUUUUAGUUUCCAUUGCAUUUGUUUCUUUCCUGGUCUUUAUUGUUGCUUUUCUUUAACUAAAUUUGGACUUGGUUUGCUAUUGUUUUUCCAGCUCCUUGAGAUAUAGCAAUAUGUUGUUUAUUUGAGAUUUUUCUAUUUUUUUUAUGUGGGCCUUGAUUGCUCUGUACUGUCCUUUUAAUACUGCUUUGGCUGUAUCCCAUAUGUAUUAGUAUGUUGUGCCUCCCUAUUUCUUUUAAAAUUUAGCAUUUUUAAAAUUUGUCCUCAGUACCACAUACAAACAAAGAUGUUGUGUCCGCUGAAAACUGAAAAAUAAAUAUUAAAAAAAAAUUUGUUCUAGUUAUAUGUGACAGCAGAAUGCAUUUUGACACAUCAUACAUAGAUGGAAUAUAACUUCUCAUUCUUCUGGUUGUACAUGAUGUAGGGUUAUAUUGGUUGUGUAAUCAUUUAUGCACAUAGGGCAAUAAUGUCCAAUUCAUUCUACUAUCAUUCCUAUCCCCAUACCCUUCCUGUCUAUCACUCCCCUCUAACACAAAGUACCUUACUUUUCCCUAGCCCCUCUCCUUGUGAAUUAGCAUCCACAUAUCAGAGAAAAUAUUUAGCCUUUGCUUCUUUAAGAUUGGCUUAUUUCACUUAGCAUGAUAAUCUCCAUUUCCAUCCAUUUACCAGCAAAUGUCAUCAAGUCAUUCUUCUUUAUGGCUAAGUAAUACUCCAUUGUGUUUGUAUCUGUGUGUGUGUGUGUGUGUGUGUGUAUCUCACAAUUUCUUUAACCAUUCAUCUGUUGAAGGACAUUUAGGCUGGUUCCAUAGUUUAGCUAUUGUAAAUUGAGCUUCUGUAAACAUUGAUGUGGCUGCGUCACUGUAGUAUGCUUAUUUUAAGUCCUUUGGGUAUAGACUGAGGAAUGGGAUAACUAAGUCAAAUAGUGGUUCUAUUCCAAAAUUUCUGAGGAAUCUUCAUACUUCUUUCCAGAGAAGUUGCACCAAUUUGUUAUCCCACCAGCAAUAUAUAAAUAUACCUUUCCCCCCACCUCCUUGCCAACAUUUUUUGUUGCUUGUAUUCUUGAUAAUCACCAUUCUGACUGGAGUGAGAUGAAAUCUAAGGGUAGUUUUGACUUGCGUUUCUCUAAUUGCUAGAGAUCUUAAACAUUUUUUCAUAUAUUUGUUGAUCAGUUACAUUUCUUCUGUGAAGUGUCUGUUCGGUUCCUUAGCCCUUUAUUGAUUGGGUUAUUUGUGUUUUUGGUGUUAAGUUUUUUGAGUUCUUUAUAUAUUCUGGAGAUUAAUGCUGUAUCUGAGGUGCAGGUGGCACAGAUUUUUCUCCCAUUCUCUAGGCUCUCUGGUCAUGUUCUUGAUUGUUUCCUUUGCUGUGAAGAAGCUUUUUAGCUUAAUACCAUCCUAUUUAUUGAUUCUUGAUUUUAUUUCUUGCAUUUUAUGAGUCUUAUUGAGGAAGUCAGUUCCUAAGUUGACAUGAUAGAGAGUUGAGUCUACUUUUCCUUCUAUUAGGCGCAGGUUCUCUGUUAUAGUGUGUAAGUCCUUAGUCCACUUUAAGUUGAUUUUUGUGCAGGGUGAAAGAUAGGGGUUUAAUUUCAUUUUGCUGCAUAUGUAUUUCCAGUUUUCCAAGCACUAUUAGUUGAAGAGGCUAUCUUUUCUCCAAUGUAUGUUUUUGGCAUCUUUGUUUACUAUGAGAUAACUGUAUUUAUGCGGGUUUGUCUCUGUAUUCUCUUUCCUACAUGUCGGUUUUUGUGUGGAUACCAUGCUGUUUUUGUGAAUAUGCCUCUGUUCUGUAAUUUAAGGUCUGCUGUUGUGAUUCCUCCUGUUUCCUUUUCUUUCUAAGGAUUGCUUUGGGUAUUCUAGGUCUCUUAUAUUUCCAAAUGAUUUUCAUGAUUGUCUUUUCUGUUUCUAUGAAGAAUGUCAUUGGGAUUUUAAUAGGAAUUGCAUUAAAUCUGUAUAGUGCUUUUGGUAGUAUGGCCAUUUUGACAAUAUUAAUUCUGCCUAUCCAUGAGCAUGGGAGCUCUUUCCAUCUUCUAAGGUCUUCUUCAAUUUCUUUCUUUAGUGUUCUGUUGUUUUCAUUGUAGAGGUCUUUCACUUCUUUUGUUAGAUUGAUUCCCAAGUGCUUUAGUUUUUUUGAGCCUAUUGUGAAUGGGGUAGUUUUACUAAUUUUUUAUUCAGUGGAUUCAUCACUGAUGUAUAGGAACAUGUUUGAUGUUGGGUGUUGGUUUUAUAUCCUGCUACUUUGCUGAAUUCAUAUAUGAGUUUUAGAAGUUUUCUGUUAGAAUUUUUUGGAUCCUCUAUGUAUAGGAUCAUGUCAAAAGUGAUAGUUUGAGUUCUUCUUUUCCUAUUUAUAGUCCUUUAAUUUCUUUCUUAUGCCUAAUUGCUCUGGCUAGAGUUUCAAGGACGAUGUUGAAUAGAAGUGGUGAAAGAGGGCAUCCUUGUCUUGUUCCAGUUUUUAGAGGGAAUGCUUUCAAUUUUUCUUCAUUUAGAAUGAUGUUGGCUUUGGUCUUAGCUUAGAUAGCUUUUACCAUGUUGAGGUAUGUUCCUACUAUUCUUAGUUUUUCUAGUAUUUUUAAUAUGAAGUGGUGCUGUAUUUUGUCAAGUGCUUUUUUUCAGCAUCUAUUGAGGUGAUCAUAUGAUUCUUGUCUUUAAGUCUAUUGAUGUGAUGAAUUACAUUUAUUGAUUUCUAUAUGCUGAUCCAACCUGCAUCCCUGAGAUGAACCCCACUUGAUCAUGGUGCACUAUCUUUUAAUGUUUUUGUAUGUAAUUUGCCAGAAUUUUAUUGAGAAUUUUUGCAUCUGUGUUCAUCAGUGAUAUUGGUCUGAAGUUUUCUUUCCUUGAUGCGUCUUUGUCUGGUUUUGGUAUCAGAGUGAUACUAGCCUCAUAGAAUGAGUUUGGAAUGGUUCUAUCCUUUUCUAUUUCAUGGAAUAAUUUGAGGAGUAUUGGCAUUAAUUCUUCUUUGAAGUUCUUGUAGAACUUGGCUGAGAAUCUGUCUGGUCCUGGGAUUUUCUUGACUUGUAGGAUUAUGACAGUGUCUUCUAUUUGAUUGCUUGUAACUGAUCUGUUAAAGUCAUGUAAGUCCUCUGGAUUCAGUUUGGGUAGGUCAUAUGUCUCUAGAAAUUUUUUGAUGUCUUCAAAAUUUUCUAUUUUAUUGGAGUAUAAAUUUUCAAAAUUGUUUUUGAUUAUCUUCUGUAUUUCAGUAGUGUCCAUCAUGGUAUUUCCCUUUUCAUCAUGAAUUUUAGUAAUUUGAAUUUUCUCUCUCUUUUCAUUAGCAUGGCAAAAGGUUUAUCAGUUUUAUUUAUUUUUUCAAAGAGCCAAUUUUUUGUUUUGUCAAUUUUCUGAAGUGUUUCUUUUGUUUCAAUUUCAUUGAUUUCAGCUCUAAUUUUAAUGAUUUCCUGUCUUCUACUGCUUUUGGUGUUUAUUUGUUCUUUUUCUAGGGAUUUGAAAUAUAAUGCUAGGUCAUUUGUUCAUCGACUUUCUAUUUUUUUAUAAAUAUUUUUAGUUGUAGAUGGACACAGUACCUUUAUUUUAUUUAUUUAUUUUUAUGUGGUGCUGAGGAUUGAACCCAGGGCCUCACAUGUGCCAAGCAAGCGCUCUGCCACUGAGCUACAGCCCCAGCUCAACUUUCUAUUCUUUUAAUGAAAGAGCUCAAUGCAUUGAAUUUUGCUCUUAGCACUGCCUUCAUAGCGUCCCAGAGAUUUUUUAAAAAAAAUAUUUAUUGUUUAGUUGUAGUUGGACACAAUACCUUUAUUUAUUUAUUUUUAUGUGGUGCUGAGGAUCGAACCCAGGGCCCCACACAUGCUAGGCAAGUACUUUACCGCUGAGCCACAACCGCAGCCCCAUCCCAGAGGUUUUGAUAUGUUGUAUAGGUGUUCUCAUCUACUUCUAAGUAUUUUUUAAAUUUCAUCUAUGAUUUCUUCUGCUAUUCAUUUCUCAUUAAAUAACAUAUUAUUUAGUCUCCAGGUGUUGGAGUAGCUUCUAUUUUUUAUUUUACUGUUGAUUUCUAAUUUCAUUCUAUCAUGAUAUGAUAGAAUGAAGGGUAAGGGUAGUAUCUCUAUUUUUUGUAAUUGGUAAGAGUUGCUUUGUGGCAUAAGGUAUGGUCUAUUUUAGAAAAGGAUCCAUGUGCUACUUAGAAGAAAGUUUAUUUGCUUGUUGAUGGAUAAAAUAUUCUGUAUGUCUGUUCAGUCUAAAUUAUUGAUUAUAUUAUUUAGUUUAUGUUUGGAAAUCUGUCCAGUAGUGAGAGAGGUGUGUUAAAGUUACCCAUUAUUAUUGUGUUGUGGUCUAUUUGAUUUUUGAAUUUGAGGAGGUUUUUUUUUUUUUUUUUUUUUUUUGGUGGAUGUAGAUGCUCCAUUGUUUGGGGCAUAAAUAUUUUUGAUUUUUAUGUCUUGUUGAUAUAUAAUUCCCUUGAGCAGUAUGAAAUGUCCUUCUUUGUCCCUUCUGACUAACUUUGGCUUGAAGUCUACUUUAUCUGAUACGAAGAUGGAAACCCCUGCUUGUUUUCUUAACCCAUGUGAGUGAUAUGUUCUUUCCUAUCCUUUCACCAUCAGUUUGUGGAUGUCUUUGCCUAUGAGGUGAGUCUCUUGGAGACAACAUAUUGUUGGGUUUUGUUUUUACAUCUAAUCUGCCAGUCUAUGUCUUUUGAUUGAUGAAUUUAGGCCAUUAAUGUUCAAGGUUAUAAUUGAGAUAUAAUUUAUAUUCUCAUUCAUUUUUAUUUAUUUCUGGUUUUUAAUUUGACUUAGUUUCUCCUUAGAUUGACUAUUCCUUUAGUAUAGUUCCUCUACACUUUGCUGGUUUUCACUUUUUUUUUUUUCUCAUUUCAUCUUCAUGGAAUGUUUUGUUGAGAAUGUUCUGUAGUACAGGCUUUCUAGUUGCAGAUUCUUUUAACUUUUGUUUAUCAUGGAAGGUUUUUAUUUCAUCUUCAAAUCUGAAGCUUAUUUGCUGGUUAUAAAAUUCUUGUUUGGCAUCCAUUUUUUUUUUUUUCAGAGCUUGGUAUAUGUUGUUUCAGGACCUCCCAGCAUUGAGGGUCUGGAUUGAAAAGUCAACUGAGAUCUGAAUUGCUUUCCCCUAUAUGUAAUCUGCUACUUUUCUCUUGUGGCCUUUCAAAUUCUAUCCUUAUUUUGCUUUUUAGGCAUUUUCAUUAUAAUGUGGCUUGAUGUGGGUCUGUUGUAAUUUUAUACAUUUGGGGUCCUGUAAGCCUCUUGUAUUUGAUUUUCCAGUACAUUUUAUGUGUGUGUGUAGAGGUUAAGUGAGUUUCUUGUGAGAAACAUAGAGUUGGUUCUUGUUUUUUUAAAUUCAUUCACUCACUGUGUGUCUUUUAACUGGAGAAUUUAGUUCGUUACAUUCAAGGUUAUUUCUGAUAGGUAAGAUAUUACUUUCUUUCUUUCUUUUUUUUUUUUUUUUGUACCAGGGAUUGAACCUCAGGAGUACUGGACCACUGAGCCACAUCCCCAGCCCUAUUUAGAAUUUUAUUUAGAGACAGGGUCUCCCUGGGUUAUUUAGCAGCUUUUAGUUGCUGAAGCUGGCUUUGAAUUCAUGAUUCUCCUGUCUCAGCCUCCCAAAAUACUGAGAUUACAGGUGUGUGCUACCAUCUGGCUUUAUUAUUCUUCCUUUAUGUUAAGUGAAUUGCUUUAGUAGUAUGUUUUGGUUCUUUGUCUUUUUUCUUUUUUAAAGAAUAUCUUUUUUAAAAAAUAUUAUUUUGGUUGUCAAUGAACUUUUAUUUUAUUUAUAUAUAUGCAAUGCUGAAAAUAUAACCCAGUGCCGCACACUUGCUAGGCAAGUGCUCUAUCACUGAGCUACAACCCCACUGCCUAGCGUGUUUUGAUUCUUACUAGUAGCCUAGUUCAGUGACUGUCUGCCUACUAGUGGCUGGGAAUGGGCCAUCUGUCCACAUAAGAAAUAGACAAAAGAUGGAAAUAAUUAAUUGUGAACUUUAUGUAGUUUUUUCAAGUUGGGAAGAAACAAUUUAGCUGCUUUCUCUCUACCCAUGCUGCCCUAUACAGAAUCAGUUACAACUUAUGUGGACACAAAAACCAUGUGAUAUACAUAUUUAGAUUUAGUUGGUCCAAGGAAGGGCAACAUGGGAAAAAAAAAAGACAGGAAACAAAUACAUGCAGAUUUAGUUAUUCUGUGUUAGGAUGGGGGCAGGGGUCCCAUUUUUCCUCUCCAGCUUCUUUGGCACCUUUCUCAGAAGGAGGAAUUUUGUUCUUAAUUCAAAGUCCCCAAGUUCAUGUUUUAAUUCCCUGCUCAUUAUUUAUGAUAUUUGUUUGUUUGUUUGUUUCUUUCUUUCUUUCUUACAAGAUAGUGUUUAUUUUAGUGACAAUAUGAAGGCAAAAGUGAAAGCAAAUGUGAAAGGCAAGACAGAGAAGAGAAUACAUCACCAGAUUGGGUGGGGGGCUAACACCAACACCUGAAGUCAUGUAGCUGGGAAGUUGGUGUUUCUAUUAUAUAUUUUUGCUCUGAGGUUACCAUUAGUUGUACAAAAUAUAUAUUUUGGUUAUAACAAGUUAUUUUGAAAUGAUAGCAACUCAAAAUAAUUGCAAUGAUAAAAAUAGAAAUAAUCAAAUAAAAGAAUGAGAGGGCUGAGGCUAUGGCUCAGUGGUAAAGCACUUGCCUAGCAUGUGUGUGUGAGGCACUGGGUUUGAUCCUUUGCACCACAUAUAAAUAAAUGAAUAAGAUAAAGGUCCAUCAACAUCUAAAACAGAAUUUUAAAAAAUGCGAGAAUAUACACUAAUAAAAAACUCCACUUUACACUCUAUUCCUCCCACAUUUUGAAUUUUUGAUAUUUCAUCUUAUAUCUUUCUGUAUUGUGUAUAUCUUAAUGUAUUUAUUUUUCAUUAUUUUUGUUUUGACUUUAGUUUUCAUACUAAAUAUAUGACUGGUUUUUGCACCACAUUUACAAUAUUAGAACAUUUCAGCCAUGUGUGGUGGUGCAUGCCUGCAAUAACAGUGAUCUAGGGGACUGAGACAAGAGUUUCACAAAUUUGAGGCCAGCCUUAGCAACUUAGUGAGAUCAUUAGCAACUUAGAUCCUCAAAAUAAAAAGGAGUGGGGAUGUAGCUCAGUGGUAAAGUGCCCUUGGAUUCAAUACCUAAUAAUGUGAAAACAGACAAAAAACAAAUCAAAAAACCCAGAAAAAACAAAAGCAAAUCAAUAAGCAACAACAAAAGCAAACCCUAAAACCCAAACCGAAGCAAACAAGACAAUCUUAGAGUAUUCUGAAUUUGUAUAAUUUUUUUUAUACAAAUGUUUAAAAAAUGUUUUCUUCUUAUUUUUUACCAUCUCUUUCUUUCAGUUUGAAGAACUCUAUUAGCAUUUCUUGUAGGUCUGGUGGAGAUAUAUUCUCUCAGCUUUUGUUUGUUCAGGACUGUCUUUAUCCCUCCUUCGUUUUUAAGAUAGCUUUGCUGGGCACAGUAUUCUUGAUUGAUAGAUUUUUUCCCCCAAUAAGUAUUGUGAAAAUCUCAGACUACUCUAUCCUAGCCUAGGAGGUUUCUGCUGAGAUGUCAGGUCUGUUGUUGAUAACCAUUUAUAUUAUUUUUCUUCUCUUGCAGUCUUGAGAAUAUUCUAUCUCUCACUUUUGAGAGCUUAAUUAUGAAUAUGAAAUGUCCUAGGUAUAUAUGUGGUUGAGUUCAAUUUGGCUGGUUACCUUUGACCUUCCUGUACCUGGAUAUUUGUAUGUUUCUGUAGGUUUGGGAAGUUUUCUGUUAUUUCUUCAAAUAAGUUUUUACUGGUUUUUUUUUUUUUAUUCUAGGGUUUUCUUGAACUCAAAAAAGCUGAAUAUUCGCUCUUUUGAUACUGUUUCAAGUUCCUACCUUUCUUUUUCAAUCUUCUUCAUUCUUUCUUUGUUCUCUUCCAACUGUGCAUUUCUUUUUUAAAUAAAAUGUUUUUUAUUUUUGCUAACUAUGCAUUUUUAAAUAGCCUGGCUUUGAGCUCACUAAUUCUUUCUUCUGUAUUAUCUAUCAUGAUAGUUGAUGAUUUCUAACAUAUUUUAAAUUUUUCUGAUUAUACUUUUCAUCUCAAUAAUUUGAUUUUUAAAAAUAUUUCAUCUUUUUUGUUAAGUACCUUUGUUAGGGGUACAAUAUUGAAGUAUUUCUGUGUGUUUUCUUUAAGAGCAUUGAGUUUCCUUAAAAUAGCUCUUUUAAAUUUUCUGAGAGUUCGCUCAUACUGAAUACUACCUGGUUAUUUUCUGUCAUCUUAUUUUAAAUAUUAGGUGAGGUCAUGGUUUCCUGAAAGCUUUUGAUGAUUCUUGGCAUGUGAUAUCAUCUGGACAUCGAAGAAUUAGGUAUUUAUUCCAAUCUUUCUAAUCUGACUUUGUUUGAUCCUAUCUUUCCAGAAAAUCUAAGUAGGCUACUUGUUUUACUGUAAGCCUGUAGUUACCUCCACUAUUUCAGCAUUGGAUGGUGCUCAAGCUCACAUUUGCCAGGAGUAGCUAUUGGUAUGCCGUCACUAUUUUUGCAUUAUAGAGCAAUGCAAGCCUGGGUUUGUUCCAGAUACACUGUUGAGUUAUUGUUCAGAAAGAAAUAGGAGAGUGCCUUGAAAGAGUAAUCUGUACCUAUAAACCUCUUCCUGGAGACACGGUAGGCCCAGAUACCUUUUCCACAGUUACUUCCCUAUGGUCAGGAAGAAUUCUGCCUGGCUUUGGGCAGAACCUUUGUGGAUGAACCAACCUUAGUUCCUAUGUCAUACCUGUUGCCACCAAUGCCAUCAAGCUGUGUCAUACUUGUAGACCACAGCCUACCAAGACUACCAAGGGACUGCCUUCACCAUUCAAGGCUCCUUUGUUGAGGUGGACUCAUGGCCCAAGACUGCUUCAAUCAGCCAUAGGUGAUGCUACCCGGAAUAGAAAUCUGAUUUACUGGGGCCAUGUGUCUUCCCCUGGCAAAGGAUCACUUUCAGAGGCUCCAUUUAUAGGUAGAACUGAGAAUGCGGGCUAUUAGGUUUUGCUUAGUAUUUGAUUUCACCAACCAAGCAUUAAAGUCCAGGGUAAAGUCUUGUGCUUACUAUCCUUUCCUGUCCCCAGCAAAUAGGGUUUUGUACCACAUUAUGUUGCCUGAGGUUGAGAUAGUGUUAGUAAAGGCAGUCCCUUGGCCACCUAGGCCUCCUUAAAACCCACAAUAAGAUGGGUUGUACCUUAGCCUUAUGGUGCAAAGAUCUAUACAGUUUCAGAGGGCAGUAGGACCAGCACUGCAGCUCUUGGUGAUAAAAGCCAAUACAGGAGUCCAUCCCACCCAGCUUGGGUCUCUUUUUGGUGGUAGAGCAGUUCUAGAACCCCAUCUGGGAGUAUUGGCCUUGAGAAAGCUGUGCUGCACAAGAUUGAAGGAUGGGUGAUAGAGACAGUUCUUUUAUCACCAAGGCUAAUGCUAAGCUGUGUCACACCUGAGUCUCACAGUUGCAGGGAUCUACAUAGAGUUGGGAGAGGGCAGAUGUGCCCCAGGCCCAAAAUAUGUCCCAAUUUGUGCACAGGUCUCCACAGGACCUUCAAUUUUGACCAAGUGCUUGUUAUUUUAUUUUAUUUUUUUUCCAGGGAGCCUGGCACUGGGUUCCAAGACAAAAACACUGUUAGCUUUUCAUCCUUGCUCCCCAGAGUUUGAAAUCUUGCUCCUAGCUCUGCAGUUGGAGGUUGGAGAAGGGGUGUAGCAGUAGUCAGCCUCCUGACCUAAAGUAGUUAUAGUGGCUCAUGUCAUAGCUAUUGACUGGUCAUAGGGAUCAUGGGGAUCUGGCCAGUCCUUGGUUUCACUAUGGAAGGCCUGGAACUGUGCUUCAAGUCUAAGGCAUGGACUUAAUUCUCCCACCCUGAAUCGGGAGGCAUCUCUUUCCAUUUUGGACUCUUUGGAGUUGGGGGAGAGUUGGCACAGGCUCCCUGGGAUUCUUUCCUGCCUGCCUUUUUCAAUAGGUGUUUUUUUGUUUGUUUGUUAUGGUAUCUUAUCCAAUUUCCUUAGCUCCUAUGAAGGUACUUUGAUGUGUGACUAGCUGUUUAACUUAGUAUGUUUAUGGGGAGACAAUCCUAAAUGAUCUUACCCAACCACAUCUGCCUCCAGAGCACAUUCAUUUUUUUUUUAUAUUUCCAACUUUCUUAGGCAAAAAAUAACUAACUAUAUAAUGUCUUCCUUCAUCUAUUAUUGGCUAAUUGAGUUUUUUUUUUAAGGGAUUCAGCUUGAAAUUUUCCUCACUACUAUAAGGUGACAUAUGAACAGAGACAUGAAUGAAGUAAAGGAGAAAGCUCUGGAUAUCUAAGGGAAGAGUGAUUUAGGCAGAAUAGCAAGUAUAAGGGCUCUGAUAUAUGAGAAUUCCUGGGAUAUUUGAGAAAGAACAGAAACCACUAUGGUUGGAAUAGUUUGGUCAAGAGGACAGGUAUAAGAGCUGAGGCCAGAGAGAAAGUUUUGUUUUGUUGGGACAGGGAGUCACUGAAGGGUUUGAGCUGAGGAAUGAUAUAAUCUGAUUUAUGACUUAAAAAGGUAUUUCUGUCUGCUGUGUUUAAAAAAGAAUGUAGGAGAGGCAAGGAGGGAGUGGGGAAAUGCUGAUGAGUGAUAUUGGCCAAAUUAUAUUGUUAUAUUGUGUGCAUGUACACAUAUGUAACAGUAAGUCCCAUCAAUAUGUACAACUAUAAUGCACCAUAAAAAUGUGGAAAAAAUUUAAAAAAUCCAUUUUGCCAAAAAAUAUGUAUGUAUAAAGCAAAAAUUUAAGGAACUAUAACACAUUCCUUAUUAAUAAUAGAAAGCUAAUAAAAUUCUCUCAGAGUUCAGUGAUCAAUAUAAAUCUGAAAUGUCAAGGCUGUAGACGAAUUGAAUCACACAAUAAAUUGUGUUGGUCCAAUAGAUAAUAGGUAGAAUUUUGUACUACAGAGCAUAAUACACAUUAUUGUCAUGUGUAGACAGAAGAAUCAUUAAAAGACAAAAGAAUAUGGGAUGGCAAAGGUGACAGCAUGUAGACUAGUAGGAGAUUAUUGCAAUAGUGUAGGGGGCAGAUGUUGGUGGCUUUGAUCAGUGUGGGAACACUGGGGGUGGUGAGGAGUGAUGCGAUUUUUGCAUAUAAUUUGAUGUUAAAGUGCAUAGGAUUACUGAUGGAUUAGAUUGUGGAAUUAGAAGAGAAGAAUGAAUGAUGAUUCCAAGAAUUUGGACCUGAAUGAUUGGAAAGGUGGGCUAAACAUUGCAGGAGAAGCAGAUUGAGGGUGGUAGAUAAGAUCAGGAAUUCAGUUUUGGUAAGUUUGCGCUCUGUCACAUCCAAAAGGAGAUGUUGCUUAGAGGUCUAGUGAAGAAAGUGUUUUCAGGAGUGCAAUAGCAUCAGAUACUAAUGAUGAGUCAUGAGAGAUGACCCAGGGUUGACCUUUGGAUUUAUUAAAAUGGAGAUGAAAGGUGACAUUGACAAGUGUUGUUUUGGUGAAAUUACAGGAAAGCCUGAUUAGAGUGAUAUCAAACCAGAAUGAAAGGAAGUGGGGAUAGUAAUUACUUCAUAUAGUUCUGCUAACAAAGGGGAACAGAGAAAUGGGGACUGUAGUUGAAAAGAAAUGAAGAGUCAAGGAACAUUUUAAAAGUUACUGUUAUUUCAGUUUAUUUUUAUGCUAAUGGGAAUAAUUGAAUGGAAAAGAAAAAGAAUUGAUAAUGAAACAAGGUCUUUGAGUAGGUAAGAGGCUAGAUACCUGCUCAAGUACAGGAGCUGGCUUUUUUUUUUUUCUUAAUAACUUGGUGGGAUUUUUAUUGUGAGAAGUCCAGUUUGAAAGAGACACCAGCGAACACUUUUCUAGUGUAAGACCAAAUUUUAAGGGAAUUGUGUGAUCUAAUACUCCCAAAUUGGAAAAUUAGGUCUGCGAUUGCCUAAACCCACAGGUAAACCCCACUAUCCUUAGUUAUACUAACAGGAUAUAGGCUUCCAGGGCAGGAUAUCCUCCAGAAAGGGUCAUGGAGAAAAUGGUCAUGGAGAAAAAUGGACAAGGGAGAUUUCCUCAGUGUGUAAAAAUUGGGGCAUCCAUAGUGAUUGACCAAGAAAUUCACCCUGUAGUGAAUUUUUAAAAAUUAUUCCCAUGAAGGAGCUGGCUUUUGAUAGAAGCACAAAUAUUUGAUCCACAGUAACAGAAGGGAAGAUAGAAUAUAUGGAUACACUUCUGGGUUAAAUCUGCGGAUGCUGUGUUAGGAGCUUGUGGAAGUUGUCUUCUGAUUUUCCACAAAAUAGGAAGUAAUAUCAUCAGCUGAGAAAGGCUCUGAGAAAGAAGAAUGGGAAGGUUUAGGAAAAAGGAAUGUUUUACAUAGAAAUAUACUGUUUAGUAAAUAUGAACUAUUGCUAUAAAUUGUACUUAGUCUGUUUUUGAAAAUGUCAAGUUGGACGGGAUAGAAGGCUUUUAAAGUUCAAAGACAAUCAUCAUCUACUACAUGCAAAGACAGUGUUGCUCUGGUAAUUUUUUUCAAGGAUAUUUCUCUUUCAUGCUCUCAUGAAAGAGAGACAUCUAUUCAAGAAGUCUUACUAUAACAUGAUGUACAUUAAGAAUGCCUACUAUAUUUGUGUGUACAAACUGGUUUUGAAAAAGAGGAGAUAGAGAUUGAUUUUAACCAUCAAAGAUGAUUUUAUGGAUGAGAGAGCAUCUGAGUGAGGUCUGGAUUAAGGGAAGGUAGGUGUUCAGUUGACUUAUCAAUUGCUUUAUAUAUACUAGACAUGGGGCUAAGCAUUGUGCACACAUUGUUGUAAUUAAUUCUAAUACCCGUAGGAAGGUGAAGCUUAAAGAGGUUAAGUAAUUUGAUAAAAGUCAUACACAGCUGGUAAGUAGGUUUCAGACUCAGAUCUAGCUGACAACAACCCCUUUUUAAUAUAGAACAAUGGUUGUUGGGAGAAAGAGUGCUAUUGGAGAGAAUACUCCAGUACAAGGAGUUAAUAGGAACAAAGAAAAGCACAGAUGUGAGAAAACGUAGAGAAAGUGUGUGUGUGUGUGUGUGUGUGUGUGUGUGUUCACAGAAAGUAAUAGAAGGGAAAAAGUAAUUCAGAAUGACAUGGGCAGUGUGUGUGUGUGUGUGUGUGUGUGUGUGCAUUGGGAAAAGAUGGAACAUACAGUGGAAGAUAAAGCUGAAAUAUAGGCUGUAAGCGGAUCAUAGAAGAGAGGUUUCAAAUGUCAUGUUAAAUAAUCUGGACAUUAUGUUGCAGGAAGUCAUAAAUUUUGAGAUCGUUUUUCUGUACAAGAGAAUCAUAUCUACUAUGGAGCAUCUGGCCAGUAUUAUAACUCUUUGUUUUGUUUUACAGUUGUAGAUUCUUUCGCAAGACAAUAGGAAGUAAAAGUGGGAGACUGACAUUAAAUGUCAAAUGCAGUUAUCAAUUUCAUAUAAUAGUGUAUGAAUAUGUAAUUAUUUUAUUGAAUUAUUUUGUGUCAUGAAAUUAGGAACACUGGUAUAAAGUAGAUUAAUGUUAGCUUACUAUUUUUAGAAGGCCAUAUGUCAGAAAUUAAAAUUAUGUUUUUCAGAUACUGACCGAGCCUUAUCAUUAUUGGAAGAAUACUGCAAAAAAUUAAGAAAACCAGAGGAGCAGCUGUUGAAAAAUGCUGUUAAAAAGGUGAUGAGUAUAUUUAAGAGCAGCUUAUUCCAAGCUUUG
Molecule: long non-coding RNA, 30203 nt
Filed under: Marmota monax (woodchuck)
Lineage: Eukaryota; Metazoa; Chordata; Mammalia; Rodentia; Sciuridae
Source: RNAcentral